RNAcentral lists this long non-coding RNA (218 nucleotides) under Elaeis guineensis (African oil palm). Its description in RNAcentral is "long non-coding RNA (EGUI_LNC078954)". The record is from RNAcentral. Lineage: Eukaryota; Viridiplantae; Streptophyta; Magnoliopsida; Arecales; Arecaceae.
UUGGGGAUGGGCGAGCAUCGAGGCACCCCCGCUUCGGCGCUCCACAGAUCCUUGGUGCCCUCCGCACCGGGUUUGGUCCGCCUGCCACCCCCCGCACCGCACGUCCCCGCCGCGCCCGAUCGGGCGGGCGUCCGGGCCUCGAGGCGAAUGCGGUGGGUGGAGUUGGGCGAGGGCGACGCAGCGGGUCGGGCGAGCCUUCCCGCUACGGUGCNNNNNNN